This is a long non-coding RNA of Eufriesea mexicana, 413 nucleotides long. RefSeq lists it as uncharacterized. The record is from RefSeq and is a predicted model, not a curated record. The transcript is spliced from 3 exons. NCBI's taxonomy places the organism in Eukaryota, Metazoa, Arthropoda, Insecta, Hymenoptera, Apidae.
GGAAUGGGAAAUAAUGAUUGAUCGCAGGUAAUGGCUAGUAAGUGAAACGAUACAGCCAUAAAACAGGAUGAAUUAUUGUUACAAAUAAAUAACUAUUUAUAAUGCAUUAUAAAUCUAAUACAAUGUAAUUUGGACGAUUAAGGAGUUCCAGGAAUUUGACAUAUGGUUAGAGAUCGGUGUACAUUAAGGAAUAUGGAACACAUAUGCGUGCCCCUGUAUCUUUGGAAAAAACUCGAGGGAAAAAGAGAGAAGCCAAUGGAUUUUUUCAUAACCUAGAUUCGCGUAUCAACGGCUCGUGCUGGCUAGGCCUCUACACCUUCGAAAGUGGUCUCUUCCUUCUCUUUUGUCUCGCAACACUAUACAAAUUGUACAUCCUUUCAAGGACUUCCAAUAUCCCAAUGAAUAUUCAGGGA